Hibiscus syriacus is the source of this 283-nucleotide long non-coding RNA. RefSeq lists it as uncharacterized. Lineage: Eukaryota; Viridiplantae; Streptophyta; Magnoliopsida; Malvales; Malvaceae. The record is from RefSeq and is a predicted model, not a curated record. The transcript has 4 exons.
UGUAGAUUUUGUAAUUGGCUUAUGGUGGUGAAUUUUUAUGUAUUUUCUUCUUUAGUUUUUAUUACUAUGUUUCAUGGUAUUUUACCAACAUUUGUAUGCAGAUCUUAUGCUUGCAGGGAUCACCAGAUGGACCUGAACAAUAUGUUGCAAUCAUGAAUGCAAUAUUCUCUGCCCAACGCUCUGAGGUUCCUAUAGAUUCUUGUUACAUAGGUGCACAGAAUUCAGCCUUUCUGCAACAGGCUUCUUACAUAAUUGUUGGUGUACAUCAUAAGCCACAAAAUUU